Hibiscus syriacus is the source of this 191-nucleotide long non-coding RNA. RefSeq lists it as uncharacterized. The record is from RefSeq and is a predicted model, not a curated record. Lineage: Eukaryota; Viridiplantae; Streptophyta; Magnoliopsida; Malvales; Malvaceae. The transcript is spliced from 3 exons.
CCCAUCAUUUUCAGGUAGAAACUGUUCUUCAACUUGUGGGCUCAGCUGCUAUUAUUCAGCUUCUGAGCAAGAAGCUCCUAUUUUCAGAGGAUCGAAAGCAAACUCUUAAACAAAUUGAUUAAUUCUUAAGCACAAAAGUGGCUCCUAAUGAACUCGUUGACGAUAUAAAGGAAAUCGGGGUGGCCCUUAUA